This is a long non-coding RNA of Onychostoma macrolepis, 1005 nucleotides long. RefSeq lists it as uncharacterized. NCBI's taxonomy places the organism in Eukaryota, Metazoa, Chordata, Actinopteri, Cypriniformes, Cyprinidae. The record is from RefSeq and is a predicted model, not a curated record. The transcript has 5 exons.
CUAAGAGGAAGCCAGCCUAAUGUCCAGGACCUUGGCUGCAUUUGCCACCAUGUCCAGCUUGCCACUGGUUGUGGCAUCAAAGCAACCAAACUUCCAGUAGAAGACAUGUUGGUUGGAAUAUACACCCACUUUGACAAAAGUGCAAAAGAGAUGUGAGCUCUACAAGGAGUUUGUAGAGUUCGCAGACUCUGACAACCUUGAGCUGCUGAGUACCGGAUGGCUCAGUCUGCUUACAUGCAUACAGAGAGUACUGAACCAGUGGAAUGCUCUACAGGCAUACUUUGACAGUCUUGAGGAGGUGGAGAGGAAUGUCAAAGUUCGUGAUCUGGCAAGCCAUCUCCGUGAUCAAGUUAUGAACCUGCCUUUCAGUCAGAGGGAGAACAGAUUCACAGGCUUGAAGAGGAGAUGUGCAGGCUGAUCAGGCGGUUUUUGGGCUACCUCAUACCAGCCAGGGCCAUCUUGGAUGUGGCUCUCAGGGAGGUGAACUACGGAGAGGGACAUCAAUUGGAAGAUGAAGACCUCUUCAUUGGAGCAGAGACAAUUUGUAUGCAGUGCAGUCCCUCGGAACAAGACUACGGGAACCAGACGCGUCCUCUGCUCAAUCUGACUUGUGCUGCAGCUGGUUUCAUCUAGCCAGAGGAGAACGGGCCCCAUGACUGAGGCUGCUUUCUCCCAAGGUUUUCUCUCCAUUUCUGUCACCGAUGGAGUUUUGGUUCCUUGCCGCUGUCGCCUUUGGCUUGCUUAGUCGGGGACACUUGAUUGAUUGCACAGACACCAUUGGAAGAGAACUGAACUGGAUGAUGACAUCACUGAAGCGUCAAUCAACCGGCUUUAGCUGGAAAAUGACUCUUUGUUAUUGUCCUCUUGCACUGUUGACAAACUUACUUUCUGUUGACACUGUAAAGCUGCUUUGACACAAUCAGUAUUGAAUAAAGCGCUAUAUAAAUAAAGGUGACUUGACAUAUUUUUUUCUCAUGCCCAUGUUAACAGGUUAGAGCAGGGGUG